ACAGCAUGUAAGAUAUGCUGCAAAAUUAAUUUAAUGUGUAUUAUAGGGGUCUCUUGGGCUAGAUUGCAAUAAACAAGGAGAGCUGAAUAAUGAGCCACUAGAAGUCUUGGAUACAGGAGACCUGUGCCCGGUUUUACUCAAUGAAAGGUGGUAAUGAGAAAGGAACAAAUAUUCUGAAGAUGCAGAGAAACCCAGGGCAAGGGUGAUACAGGCAUGUUAAUUUUCU
This is a non-coding RNA of Callorhinus ursinus (northern fur seal), 226 nucleotides long. NCBI's taxonomy places the organism in Eukaryota, Metazoa, Chordata, Mammalia, Carnivora, Otariidae. The record is from RefSeq and is a predicted model, not a curated record.